This 612-nucleotide ribosomal RNA is filed under the name Anabaena sp. 187. RNAcentral describes it as "bacterial SSU rRNA". It matches the Rfam family "Bacterial small subunit ribosomal RNA", at positions 43 to 695 of the family's 1533-position model. Lineage: Bacteria; Bacillati; Cyanobacteriota; Cyanophyceae; Nostocales; Nostocaceae. The record is from RNAcentral.
CAUGCCGCAGCUUACCAUGCGAGUCGAACGGAAUCUUCGGAUUUAGUGGCGGACGGGUGAGUAACGCGUGAGAAUGGGGCUUCAGGUCGGGGACAACAGUUGGAAACGACUGCUAAUACCGGAUGUGCCGAGAGGUAAAAGAUUAAUUGCCUGAAGAUGAGCUCGCGUCUGAUUAGCUAGUUGGUGUGGUAAGAGCGCACCAAGGCGACGAUCAGUAGCUGGUCUGAGAGGAUGAUCAGCCACACUGGGACUGAGACACGGCCCAGACUCCUACGGGAGGCAGCAGUGGGGAAUUUUCCGCAAUGGGCGAAAGCCUGACGGAGCAAUACCGCGUGAGGGAGGAAGGCUCUUGGGUUGUAAACCUCUUUUCUCAAGGAAUAAAAAAAUGAAGGUACUUGAGGAAUAAGCAUCGGCUAACUCCGUGCCAGCAGCCGCGGUAAUACGGAGGAUGCAAGCGUUAUCCGGAAUGAUUGGGCGUAAAGGGUCCGCAGGUGGCAGUGAAAGUCUGCUGUCAAAGAAUGAGGCUCAACCUCAUCAAGGCAGUGGAAACUACACAGCUAGAGUACGGUCGGGGUAGAAGGAAUUCCUGGUGUAGCGGUGAAAUGCGUAGAA